UACGUAUGGUGCAAACGUUAUCCGGAUUUACUGGGCGUAAAGGGAGCGCAGGCGGCGCGCCAAGUCUGACGUGAAACCCCGGGGCUCAACCCCGGGCAUGCAUUGGAAACUGGCGGGCUGGAGUGCCGGAGAGGUAAGCGGAAUUCCUAGUGUAGCGGUGAAAUGCGUAGAUAUUAGGAGGAACACCAGUGGCGAAGGCGGCUUACUGGACGGCAACUGACGCUGAGGCUCGAAAGCGUGGGGAGCAAACAGG
This 253-nucleotide ribosomal RNA is filed under the name uncultured bacterium. Its description in RNAcentral is "partial 16S ribosomal RNA". It matches the Rfam family "Bacterial small subunit ribosomal RNA", at positions 524 to 776 of the family's 1533-position model. The record is from RNAcentral.